GAUCCUGCCUCAGGAUGAACGCUGGCGGCGUGCUUAACACAUGCAAGUCGAACGAAGCACUUAAGAUUGAUUCUUCGGAUGAAGUCUUUUGUGACUGAGUGGCGGACGGGUGAGUAACGCGUGGGUAACCUGCCUCAUACAGGGGGAUAACAGUUAGAAAUGACUGCUAAUACCGCAUAAGCGCACAGGGUCGCAUGACCUGGUGUGAAAAACUCCGGUGGUAUGAGAUGGACCCGCG
This 238-nucleotide ribosomal RNA is filed under the name uncultured bacterium. Its description in RNAcentral is "partial 16S ribosomal RNA". It matches the Rfam family "Bacterial small subunit ribosomal RNA", at positions 15 to 235 of the family's 1533-position model. The record is from RNAcentral.